Unclassified non-coding RNA from Papio anubis (olive baboon), 147 nucleotides. It matches the Rfam family "Metazoan signal recognition particle RNA". Rfam says of the family: The signal recognition particle (SRP) is a universally conserved ribonucleoprotein. It is involved in the co-translational targeting of proteins to membranes. The eukaryotic SRP consists of a 300-nucleotide 7S RNA and six proteins: SRPs 72, 68, 54, 19, 14, and 9. Lineage: Eukaryota; Metazoa; Chordata; Mammalia; Primates; Cercopithecidae. The record is from Ensembl.
GCCGGGCAUGGUGGCGGGUGCCUGUAAUCCCAGCUACUUGGGAGGCUGAGGCAGAGAAUUGCUUGAUCCCAGGAGGCGGAGGUUGCAGUGAGCUGAGAUCACACCACUGCACUCCAGCCUGGGUAACAGAGCGAGACUCUGUCUCAA